UACGAAGGGGGCUAGCGUUGCUCGGAAUCACUGGGCGUAAAGCGCACGUAGGCGGCUUUCUAAGUCAGGGGUGAAAUCCUGGAGCUCAACUCCAGAACUGCCUUUGAUACUGGAGAGCUUGAGUCCGGAAGAGGCGAGUGGAACUCCUGGUGUAGCGGUGGAAUGCGCAGAUAUCAGGAAGAACACCGACGGCGAAGGCAGCUCGCUGGGACGGUACUGACGCUGAGGCGCGAAAGCGUGGGGAGCGAACAGG
RNAcentral lists this ribosomal RNA (253 nucleotides) under uncultured bacterium. Its description in RNAcentral is "partial 16S ribosomal RNA". It matches the Rfam family "Bacterial small subunit ribosomal RNA", at positions 524 to 776 of the family's 1533-position model. The record is from RNAcentral.